AGUAUAUUUUUCAGUUUGUUGCUAACAACCUUGAUCAAUACCCUGCAAAGUACAUGCUUCUAGGGAAACAAACAAUAGGCCUCGUCAAUUUUUCAACAGGUUUUGUAAUCCAGAAAAGGCAACACGUUUGUUGGCUUAAGCGAUAGGAAAUGGAGGAAGAAGCCCUGAAAAAAAGCAGUAAAAUCUAUGAGGGAAGUGCUCAACGGGCCAUUUAGAAGAGGACACAGCCGCAGAAUCAACUGUUACAGAGGAGUGAAAUGUUGCAAUUAGGCCACUGCACUUGGCAGGUUCAGGGAAGUAGAGGGGCAGAAUUCUAAUUGCAGCAGUGAAUUGAGAAGUGAAUGAACGGUAAGAAAGUACAGGGAGUAGCGAGUAUUUUUUGAAGCGAACACGUUGUGAAGUAAAGGAAGGAAAAAGGAUGAUAGGCUGAUUUUCAGGAAGAAGGAAAGUUCUUUUAAUUUCCUUCUUUUCUUUUCUUUCUUUUUUAGUUCAUAGACACAAGAGAAAGAGCCACUGGGGCAGGAGAGAUUGAAGAUAAAAGGAAGAAGGAGUACUUGAUAAGGCUAAGUCCCAGAGGAGGGCAGCAGGGACAGGAUCCGGAGCAGAGGGGGCCCAGCUCACUCUGCACAGGAGGAAGUACUCCUCCGAGGACAGUUCAACAAAGAUGGUGGUCAAGAUGCACGAGAACUCAGAGAGAAGUGUGGACUUUGUGCAGGAUGGUUUCCCUUUCUCUGCGGAGGAGGGGCAGGCCACCUGCUGAUGGCGAGAAGGACGGUGACAGGGUCUGUGUGGUGAACUGCAGAGGCCGCUUUGGGGCGUGUGAAAGGACACUGGAGCUGUCACGCGUGGCCAACAGCAGGUGACAGAAAACCUUGCUCAAACUGCCUGGGACGAAAAAGGAACUCCUGGUUCAUGUAGUGAAAAGUCCAAGGCCUGAGCGGCACCUAGGAGUUCAAACAAUGCCAGCAGAACUUGGUUUCUUUCCCCCCCUCUGCUAAUGUUGGCUCCAAUUCUCGGACACCACUGCCCAGUCCCUGACAAGGGAAAAAGGAGUCGUUUUCCUCCCGGAGGAGGGCGUGCCCACGCACUGACAAGGAGCUGGACCAGACCAAUUUGGGCCUUAAACUCAUCCUCCAACCAAUCACCAAGGCCCAGAUUUGGAGUACUCUGAUUGGCUGGCCCCAGGACAUGUGAUCGCCUCUGAUCCAAUCACUGCAGCAGGGGGAUUUCAGCGCGCCGAAGAGCCCGCCCUGCGGACGGUGCGGGGACGGGUUCUAACCCAAUUUCCCUGAAGGCGGAGGGAAGGACGUGUAGUGCCAACCCCAGGCAUUGGUUUAGGACGAGGAGGGCUCGUUAUGUUCUUCGUCAGGUGGAAAGGGGAGCCUUCUGCUGCCCGAGCCAGGGAGGAACUUCGGAUGACUGGCCGUCUGAAACAGCCCCGCCGGCACCGAGGAGAGGAGACAGCAAAAUACGAAUAAAAGGAUUGUGAGGAGGGCCCCAAGAUGAAGAGGGAGGCACAAAGAGGCUGUGUAACGGGUCCAAAGCUCCCUGGAUGGUAAAUGGCAGGGCCAGGAUUCACCUCCAGGAAGUCUGCGUGUAGAUCUCUUGAUAUUUAUAUAUCGAACCCAACUGACAGGUGGGAAAUACGGAGGCUUUGGUCCGGCCAACGGCGAGUCACGGUGCAAUCGGCUUCCCUGGUAACGCAGACAGAGCACGGCCAUAUUCCCUUAAAACGUCGACCGUGGUAUUGCACCCACGUGUCAUGAAUACUCAUGCUUCUGAGCAGCACAGGACAGGGAGCAGGAUGCAGACGAUUUCGGGGAAGGCAUAUGAGUACAAGCUGCGUAUCUCUUAAAAGCAACCCACUGUUCGUUCAGAGCAGCCCUGCAGUCUUGGUCAUUUGGUGUCUUAGAACCUGACCCUCCGUGCAUCUUUUACCCCAAAGCAAAAGGGGCUGGUGGAACACAGAAGGGAAGCUGUAUGCCGGUAGGUGAAACUCUUGUCUCAUUUAGCAAACCUGCACAUUCCAUGUUCUCAGUCUCCACGUGCAGGAGGGUACCUUCGUCCAAGCUUCAACAGCCCUUGUGUCCUGAUGGGGGGCGUGGGAAGGCGCAGCCCAGUCCUCUCCUCCUCCCCUCGACGCCCCGGCUCCUUGGUGGGAGAACACAUUCCACACGGUUCCUUGUGCCGCAAGUUUACCAGCGUCCGCCCGGGGCGUGGACCCGGUGGGCCAGCUGCCCCAUUGGGGGUCAGGCGUAAGGAAGCCCACUCUCCCACAGACAGAAGCCACAUUCUCCAGGAGUGGCUUUGUCUAUAAUAAAGGUAGUGUCCUGAUGUGCCAUCAGCCUGAUUCUCUCUGUCUGAAUUGAAUUACCUGUAUUUAAUUGAAUUUCUGAUCCUUUCCACUGAAAAUUUUGCAGAGCUAAGAGGAAACACAAGUUUGCCUCCCUGGGCUAUUUGCAAGAACCCUAAACGUGUAUCUGCUUUAACGGAGAUAGUUAAACAAGGAAUUUAGCUGGGCAAGACUUGUGCCCCUACACUGUGAGCUGUUACCAAGGCAGCAGAAUUGUGGCAGCACCGAGCCCCCUUCCUGUGUGCAGAACACACACAGCAGGAACCCUUGUAAAAAAUAUAUAUAUAACUUAUAUAUAUACAAGUGUGAGGAUUCAGGCCAAGAUGACAACCACGGUUUGGACCACUGUCGUAGAGUGUGGCGUGUGUGGUGGUCUGAGAACGGUCUUCAUGGCCGGUCCCCCCUCUUCCCUUUCUGUCUGUGCCUUCUUUUACUGGGAAUCAAACUAAAAAGUGACGUGGUCUCCCAAUUUUGCUGCCACACUCAGGACGUUUGAGUACUAAUAAGAUCGUAAUCCGUGAAGAAUGGCGAAUGGCUGAGUCAGUCAUGCCCUCAUAAUCGAGGCAAGUGCUCUAUUCUAGUUUCCGAGCCCCGGAUAUCCUCAUACUGCUCUGGGCUUCUGUCACUCUUGGCCUGAAGCCCCCCUGAGAGGGAAGAGGCUUCAGAAAUACGCUGGGUGUGAGUGACCUGAUUCUCAAAGGCCGCCGGCCCCCUCUUCAGUCUGGAAACUUCUAGAGGCUCCUGAAUGUCCAAAUGCCCGGGAAAGUCAUCGAUUUAGACACACGACUGAGUUUAUACGUGUGCACGUGGCAGAUAUAAUGUGGGAGGGGCAUAUAUUCUAGUUGGAGGAUUACAGUAGUACAUAAAGUAUUAGUAAUAAUAGAGGGGGAUAGAGCCUGAUCAGCAAGCACUGAGAGUCAGAGGAAAAUUAGGACAAUAAAUAUUUGAGGGGAUUGGGGAUUUGGGGGGAAAGAUCCCAUCAAGCUGGAGGGAUCAGAGAAAGAUUUUAAGAACGGGCCUUGCAGAGUGGAUAAAAUGAAGAUUUGCAUGUAGGGAAAGGAAAGCUGUGCUACCCAGGGGAAUGAAGACCCCUGCCGUCCGCCUCCCUGUUGUCAACACCGGCCUGGUAGGUGUCUUCCAACCUUUCCAACGUGUGGGGCACCAGCUCCGUGCAGAGUAUUUUGG
This is a long non-coding RNA of Felis catus (domestic cat), 3538 nucleotides long. RefSeq lists it as uncharacterized. NCBI's taxonomy places the organism in Eukaryota, Metazoa, Chordata, Mammalia, Carnivora, Felidae. The transcript has 4 exons. The record is from RefSeq and is a predicted model, not a curated record.